GAACGGUUGCCACCACCACUGCCGACCGCGUAGCCCUUUAGUCCCGGUUUGGGACACGAACCGGGACUAAAGGCUCCUUACGGGCCGGGACUAAAGCCUCGAGGGAGGCAUUGAGAAUUGGGGCGACGUGGCCGGGCCUUUAGUCCCGGUCCAGAGGCAGGCCGGGACUAAAGGGUCCCGGCCAAAGGCCCGUUUUCCACUAGUGGUACUGGUGCACAUGACUCCAUCAUAUUGUGUGCUUUUUAGUUUAUUUUUUCCGCUGCGUCCACCAAAUCUGCUGAUAUUUUGUGUUUUCUCAUGCCAUGCGAGUCCACCAUACCUUAGUCCGUCAGCCUUUUUUUUCUCCGAUCCUGAUCCUUUCUAUACAACUUUUGUGGCCUAUUUUCCCUUGUUGUUUUCUAUAGGAUUUUCUGGACUUCUUUAGCAUUGUCGAUCUACGUCCAUCUUGCCUUAUCCGCCGAGCUUCUUUCGCCGACGGUUGUCGUGGACUAUGAUUUUCUGCACAAUGCUUUAUUCUCUUGAUGUGCCAUCUUAUUUUGACAACCCAUCUUCUCUUCAUACUUAUCUUGUAUCUUCAAGUGAUGCGGUGUCUACCUCUGAUGUGCCAUCUCUUCGUUAUCUCCUUCGGCGACUCGACAAGUUUUGAAGACUCUUCAUGCUACGACGACACUCUCAAGACGCGGAUUUGGAUUAUCAUUUUUUUUUCUUCAGUAUUACACUUCUUCAAAUGCAAUGCUAUUGCAUACGCUUUGCAUUUGAG
This 760-nucleotide long non-coding RNA is filed under the name Hordeum vulgare. RNAcentral describes it as "long non-coding RNA (HVUL_LNC006269)". Lineage: Eukaryota; Viridiplantae; Streptophyta; Magnoliopsida; Poales; Poaceae. The record is from RNAcentral.